Molecule: ribosomal RNA, 536 nt
Filed under: Moina macrocopa macrocopa
Lineage: Eukaryota; Metazoa; Arthropoda; Branchiopoda; Diplostraca; Moinidae
Description: partial small subunit ribosomal RNA
Rfam family: Microsporidia small subunit ribosomal RNA (bases 203-536)
Source: RNAcentral
CGUCGCGGUUAGACGAAGGACCUAAAUGAAAUUUAAGGUUAAAAUAAGAUAAUUGAUGUUUUAAAUUUAAACUUUAAGGAUAUUUUUUUGAGUGAAAUCUGUAAAAUUAUUAAGAGGUUUUAUUUUUUUAACUUUUAGAUCUUAUAAACUCAUUUUAUAAACCAGGAUUAGAUACCCUGCUAUUAUGAGUUACUGUUAACUAGGGUAGUAAAAGAAAAUUCUUCAAACCCAAAGAUUUUGGCGGUAUUCUAUCCAAAUAGAGGAGCUUGUCCUGUGAUCGAUAAUCCUCGUUGAAUCUUUCUUUCUUUUGUAUAGUUUGUAUACCUCCGUUGUCAGAUUACUUUACUAGAAUGUUUUCUUAAAAAAUAAUUUUAUGACUUCAGGUCAAGGUGCAGCUUAUGGGAAAGUAGUGAUGAGCUACAAUAGUUUUAAACUAAACGGAUUAUUUUUGUAAUAGGAUCUGAAGGUGGAUUUACUAGUAAACUUAAUUAAGGAAGUUAAGUUGAAUAAGGCAAUAGAAUAUGCACAUAUCGCCC